GCGUCAGUCGCAAGAUGAAGCGUUGAAUUGAAGCCCGAGUAAACGGCGGCCGUAACUAUAACGGUCCUAAGGUAGCGAAAUUCCUUGUCGGUUAAAUACCGACCUGCAUGAAUGGCGUAACGAGAUGGGAGCUGCCUCAACCAGAGAUUCAGUGAAAUUGCAGUGGAGGUGAAAAUUCCUCCUACCCGCGGCAAGACGGAAAGGCCCCGUGGACCCUUACUACAACUUAGCACUG
RNAcentral lists this ribosomal RNA (235 nucleotides) under Helicobacter pylori. Its description in RNAcentral is "partial 23S ribosomal RNA". It matches the Rfam family "Bacterial large subunit ribosomal RNA", at positions 1887 to 2119 of the family's 2925-position model. Lineage: Bacteria; Pseudomonadati; Campylobacterota; Epsilonproteobacteria; Campylobacterales; Helicobacteraceae. The record is from RNAcentral.